UACAGAGGGGGCAAGCGUUGUUCGGAAUUACUGGGCGUAAAGGGCGCGUAGGCGGCCUUCUAAGUCGAACGUGAAAUCCCCGGGCUCAACCCGGGAACUGCGUCCGAUACUGGAAGACUUGAAUCCGGGAGAGGGAUGCGGAAUUCCAGGUGUAGCGGUGAAAUGCGUAGAUAUCGGGAGGAACACCUGUGGCGAAAGCGGCGCACUGGACCACAACUGACGCUGAGGCGCGAAAGCUAGGGGAGCAAACAGG
Molecule: ribosomal RNA, 253 nt
Filed under: uncultured bacterium
Lineage: Bacteria
Description: partial 16S ribosomal RNA
Rfam family: Bacterial small subunit ribosomal RNA
Source: RNAcentral